UAGGACUAAAUCGCACAUUCACGAACCAUCACGAAAAGUCUUUGGAAUAUAUGCAAUACGUCUUUUGAACAGGUGAAACCCAGCAGUCAGUGAAGAUCUGAAUCACUACUAUUAUACGACAAUAGUAUAAAGAGCAGUAUAAUGGAAGCUAGUGUGGUUGAAGCACAUAAUAAAAGCUGGUGGGAAAACAGUGAAUCUUGGAUAGAAAAGGUUAGUAAAUAUCUUAAUACAGAACCUUUUUUUUCGUACGCAAUACCAACGCUAUAUGCAUUCUGUGCAAUGUCAUUUCUUGCAAACAUGCUUGUUGUGGUGUUGAUUAUUACCACCAGGAGGCUCCGUAAGAAACAGAACAUCUUUAUGAUUUUACUCGCUAUUUCUGACGCUGUAAGCUCCUUGUUCACUGCACUUAUGUAUGUGUUUCUGUCACUAAUGAAGAAUGGUCAGUCUUUAAUAAGGAUGGUAUCAAGUGCAACGCUGUUAAUAUCACUUUUUGCAGUUUCAUGUGUUGCCAUCGAUCGCUACAUCGCACUUGUGUGGGCACCAAUGAAAUAUCACCUUAUUGUUACUCCCAAAUCUUGUACACUCGCAGUCAUCAUCGUAAUUGCAAGCCAGACAUUUGUUGGCAUAUUACUUAACCUAUAUCGCCAGUGUGAGAUCUGUUUUCCAAUGAUUUUAUUUCUGUAUAUUGCAUUAAAUGUGACUUUAUAUAUUGUCAUCUACAAAAGUAUCGGAAACAACCGCAAGAGCAUCUCUAUACCAAGGCAUACAUUGGAUGAGUCUAAAAGGCUGCUGAGAACAUUUUGUAUUAUAGUGGGAGUGUUUACUUUGACAUUAGGACUAGUUUGUUUCAUGUACAUUUUUUUAAUUGUGAAUGGGACAAUUCCUGACCCAAAAACUGUUAUUACAUAUUAUUUAUGUUAUUUUUUGAUGACGAUUAACUCUCUUGCGAAUCCAAUAAUUUACUGGUUUCGACUUUCUGAAUUCCGAAAAGCAGUUAAAAACAUAUUUUGUCUCAGGAUUGAAGUUAACUGAGAACUGCGUAACUAAUGUAAAAUACAGUGAACAAUAAACAGUAUGAUAUUGAACAUUUUAUAGAAAAAUUAAUUUUAAGUUAAAUAUACUGGGGUUAACUUUGUCAGUUUCAGUACAAAAGGUUUUCACAAAACAGUUUGUGAAAUAUAAAGCCUACUCUUAGUGCAGAAUCAAAGUGUAUUACUACAAAUUUGUUUCGUAUGAAUAGCUGUCAAAUGCUGCCCGCACUCAUCAGGUAAGAAUACAUAGUGAGUAGUCAGUUCAAGAAUUAUAUGUAUGCUAAUUAGAUCAUGGAGGAAUUAGAUAAGGCAAAUAUAUGUUUGCUAUAGAAUACUACAAUGUUAUGUCAUGAUACCACAUUAUACUACUCCGUUGCUAUCGGCGACACAAAAUGCGUUCAACCGAUGCUAUUUUCUCUAUUCACAAACCAUUGGUCCCAAUUUCUAAAAUAAUUACUGUAUUAAGAAGUUGUAUCUUAAGUUUUCUUUGUAAACGUUAAUUGAUGAUUAAAUAUCUG
RNAcentral lists this unclassified non-coding RNA (1549 nucleotides) under Anneissia japonica. RNAcentral's name for it is "somatostatin receptor type 2-like, transcript variant X4". The record is from RNAcentral. Lineage: Eukaryota; Metazoa; Echinodermata; Crinoidea; Comatulida; Comatulidae.